This 2930-nucleotide ribosomal RNA is filed under the name Escherichia coli. Its description in RNAcentral is "23S ribosomal RNA". It matches the Rfam family "Bacterial large subunit ribosomal RNA". Lineage: Bacteria; Pseudomonadati; Pseudomonadota; Gammaproteobacteria; Enterobacterales; Enterobacteriaceae. The record is from RNAcentral.
GGGUUGUGAGGUUAAGCGACUAAGCGUACACGGUGGAUGCCCUGGCAGUCAGAGGCGAUGAAGGACGUGCUAAUCUGCGAUAAGCGUCGGUAAGGUGAUAUGAACCGUUAUAACCGGCGAUUUCCGAAUGGGGAAACCCAGUGUGUUUCGACACACUAUCAUUAACUGAAUCCAUAGGUUAAUGAGGCGAACCGGGGGAACUGAAACAUCUAAGUACCCCGAGGAAAAGAAAUCAACCGAGAUUCCCCCAGUAGCGGCGAGCGAACGGGGAGGAGCCCAGAGCCUGAAUCAGUGUGUGUGUUAGUGGAAGCGUCUGGAAAGGCGCGCGAUACAGGGUGACAGCCCCGUACACAAAAAUGCACAUGCUGUGAGCUCGAUGAGUAGGGCGGGACACGUGGUAUCCUGUCUGAAUAUGGGGGGACCAUCCUCCAAGGCUAAAUACUCCUGACUGACCGAUAGUGAACCAGUACCGUGAGGGAAAGGCGAAAAGAACCCCGGCGAGGGGAGUGAAAAAGAACCUGAAACCGUGUACGUACAAGCAGUGGGAGCACGCUUCGGCGUGUGACUGCGUACCUUUUGUAUAAUGGGUCAGCGACUUAUAUUCUGUAGCAAGGUUAACCGAAUAGGGGAGCCGAAGGGAAACCGAGUCUUAACUGGGCGUUAAGUUGCAGGGUAUAGACCCGAAACCCGGUGAUCUAGCCAUGGGCAGGUUGAAGGUUGGGUAACACUAACUGGAGGACCGAACCGACUAAUGUUGAAAAAUUAGCGGAUGACUUGUGGCUGGGGGUGAAAGGCCAAUCAAACCGGGAGAUAGCUGGUUCUCCCCGAAAGCUAUUUAGGUAGCGCCUCGUGAACUCAUCUCCGGGGGUAGAGCACUGUUUCGGCAAGGGGGUCAUCCCGACUUACCAACCCGAUGCAAACUGCGAAUACCGGAGAAUGUUAUCACGGGAGACACACGGCGGGUGCUAACGUCCGUCGUGAAGAGGGAAACAACCCAGACCGCCAGCUAAGGUCCCAAAGUCAUGGUUAAGUGGGAAACGAUGUGGGAAGGCCCAGACAGCCAGGAUGUUGGCUUAGAAGCAGCCAUCAUUUAAAGAAAGCGUAAUAGCUCACUGGUCGAGUCGGCCUGCGCGGAAGAUGUAACGGGGCUAAACCAUGCACCGAAGCUGCGGCAGCGACGCUUAUGCGUUGUUGGGUAGGGGAGCGUUCUGUAAGCCUGUGAAGGUGUGCUGUGAGGCAUGCUGGAGGUAUCAGAAGUGCGAAUGCUGACAUAAGUAACGAUAAAGCGGGUGAAAAGCCCGCUCGCCGGAAGACCAAGGGUUCCUGUCCAACGUUAAUCGGGGCAGGGUGAGUCGACCCCUAAGGCGAGGCCGAAAGGCGUAGUCGAUGGGAAACAGGUUAAUAUUCCUGUACUUGGUGUUACUGCGAAGGGGGGACGGAGAAGGCUAUGUUGGCCGGGCGACGGUUGUCCCGGUUUAAGCGUGUAGGCUGGUUUUCCAGGCAAAUCCGGAAAAUCAAGGCUGAGGCGUGAUGACGAGGCACUACGGUGCUGAAGCAACAAAUGCCCUGCUUCCAGGAAAAGCCUCUAAGCAUCAGGUAACAUCAAAUCGUACCCCAAACCGACACAGGUGGUCAGGUAGAGAAUACCAAGGCGCUUGAGAGAACUCGGGUGAAGGAACUAGGCAAAAUGGUGCCGUAACUUCGGGAGAAGGCACGCUGAUAUGUAGGUGAAGUCCCUCGCGGAUGGAGCUGAAAUCAGUCGAAGAUACCAGCUGGCUGCAACUGUUUAUUAAAAACACAGCACUGUGCAAACACGAAAGUGGACGUAUACGGUGUGACGCCUGCCCGGUGCCGGAAGGUUAAUUGAUGGGGUCAGCGCAAGCGAAGCUCUUGAUCGAAGCCCCGGUAAACGGCGGCCGUAACUAUAACGGUCCUAAGGUAGCGAAAUUCCUUGUCGGGUAAGUUCCGACCUGCACGAAUGGCGUAAUGAUGGCCAGGCUGUCUCCACCCGAGACUCAGUGAAAUUGAACUCGCUGUGAAGAUGCAGUGUACCCGCGGCAAGACGGAAAGACCCCGUGAACCUUUACUAUAGCUUGACACUGAACAUUGAGCCUUGAUGUGUAGGAUAGGUGGGAGGCUUGGAAGUGUGGACGCCAGUCUGCAUGGAGCCGACCUUGAAAUACCACCCUUUAAUGUUUGAUGUUCUAACGUUGACCCGUAAUCCGGGUUGCGGACAGUGUCUGGUGGGUAGUUUGACUGGGGCGGUCUCCUCCUAAAGAGUAACGGAGGAGCACGAAGGUUGGCUAAUCCUGGUCGGACAUCAGGAGGUUAGUGCAAUGGCAUAAGCCAGCUUGACUGCGAGCGUGACGGCGCGAGCAGGUGCGAAAGCAGGUCAUAGUGAUCCGGUGGUUCUGAAUGGAAGGGCCAUCGCUCAACGGAUAAAAGGUACUCCGGGGAUAACAGGCUGAUACCGCCCAAGAGUUCAUAUCGACGGCGGUGUUUGGCACCUCGAUGUCGGCUCAUCACAUCCUGGGGCUGAAGUAGGUCCCAAGGGUAUGGCUGUUCGCCAUUUAAAGUGGUACGCGAGCUGGGUUUAGAACGUCGUGAGACAGUUCGGUCCCUAUCUGCCGUGGGCGCUGGAGAACUGAGGGGGGCUGCUCCUAGUACGAGAGGACCGGAGUGGACGCAUCACUGGUGUUCGGGUUGUCAUGCCAAUGGCACUGCCCGGUAGCUAAAUGCGGAAGAGAUAAGUGCUGAAAGCAUCUAAGCACGAAACUUGCCCCGAGAUGAGUUCUCCCUGACUCCUUGAGAGUCCUGAAGGAACGUUGAAGACGACGACGUUGAUAGGCCGGGUGUGUAAGCGCAGCGAUGCGUUGAGCUAACCGGUACUAAUGAACCGUGAGGCUUAACCUUACAACGCCGAAGCUGUU